Gossypium raimondii (Peruvian cotton) is the source of this 168-nucleotide long non-coding RNA. RefSeq lists it as uncharacterized. The record is from RefSeq and is a predicted model, not a curated record. The transcript is spliced from 2 exons. Lineage: Eukaryota; Viridiplantae; Streptophyta; Magnoliopsida; Malvales; Malvaceae.
UGCAAACGAAAACAGGGGAGAAAGGAAAGAAAAAGAAAAAGGGAAGGAAAGAAAGAAAAUUUGGGGUUUCAAGGUUUCAAGCUCAAUUGCUAAUGUCGUGCAAGAGUCAUUGUCGAGAAAGGAAAGGGGAAGGUGAUCAAGGAGUGACUCGAGAAAAUUUACGGUUAG